ACGUAGGGGGCAAGCGUUAAUCGGAAUUACUGGGCGUAAAGCGUGCGCAGGCGGCUAUAUAAGUCAGAUGUGAAAUCCCCGGGCUCAACCUGGGAACUGCAUUUGAGACUGUAUGACUAGAGUGUGGGAGAGGAGGGUGGAAUUCCACGUGUAGCAGUGAAAUGCGUAGAGAUGUGGAGGAACACCAGUGGCGAAGGCGGCCCUCUGGGCUGGUACUGACGCUGAUGCACGAAAGCGUGGGGAGCAAACAG
This 251-nucleotide ribosomal RNA is filed under the name uncultured prokaryote. RNAcentral's name for it is "partial 16S rRNA". It matches the Rfam family "Bacterial small subunit ribosomal RNA", at positions 525 to 775 of the family's 1533-position model. The record is from RNAcentral.